CAGGGUGUAGCUAAGUUAGACCCAGCACCUCACUUACACCGAGAAGACAUCCGUGCAAAUCGGAUCACCCUGA
This 73-nucleotide transfer RNA is filed under the name Paralichthys albigutta (Gulf flounder). RNAcentral describes it as "tRNA-Val". It matches the Rfam family "tRNA". Rfam says of the family: Transfer RNA (tRNA) molecules are approximately 80 nucleotides in length. Their secondary structure includes four short double-helical elements and three loops (D, anti-codon, and T loops). Further hydrogen bonds mediate the characteristic L-shaped molecular structure. tRNAs have two regions of fundamental functional importance: the anti-codon, which is responsible for specific mRNA codon recognition, and the 3' end, to which the tRNAs corresponding amino acid is attached (by aminoacyl-tRNA synthetases). tRNAs cope with the degeneracy of the genetic code in two manners: having more than one tRNA (with a specific anti-codon) for a particular amino acid; and 'wobble' base-pairing, i.e. permitting non-standard base-pairing at the 3rd anti-codon position. Lineage: Eukaryota; Metazoa; Chordata; Actinopteri; Pleuronectiformes; Paralichthyidae. The record is from RNAcentral.